This 167-nucleotide unclassified non-coding RNA is filed under the name uncultured Sordariomycetes. RNAcentral's name for it is "sequence contains ITS2". The record is from RNAcentral. Lineage: Eukaryota; Fungi; Ascomycota; Sordariomycetes.
CCACCCUCAGGCCCUGCUGUGCCUGGCGUUGGGGCUCUCUGCGGGACCCGUCCCGCAGGCCCUCAAGACCAGUGGCGGGCUCGUCCGGACUCCGAGCGCAGUAGUUUUCUCCUCGCUCAGGGAGCUCCAGGCGGGUCUUGCCGUUAAAACCCCCUAAAUAUUUAGAA